RNAcentral lists this ribosomal RNA (460 nucleotides) under uncultured bacterium. RNAcentral describes it as "partial 16S ribosomal RNA". It matches the Rfam family "Bacterial small subunit ribosomal RNA", at positions 338 to 795 of the family's 1533-position model. The record is from RNAcentral.
CCUACGGGAGGCAGCAGUGAGGAAUAUUGGUCAAUGGACGAGAGCCUGAACCAGCCACGUCGCGUGAAGGAAGACGGUCCUCUGGGUUGUAAACUUCUUUUAUCAAGGAAUAAAACGAGGCACGUGUGCCUUUUUGUAUGUACUUUAUGAGUAAGGAUCGGCUAACUCCGUGCCAGCCGCCGCGGUAAUACGGAGGGUCCGAGCGUUAUCCGGAUUUAUUGGGUUUAAGGGGAGCGCAGGUGGGUGGUUAAGUCAGUUGUGAAAGUUUUCGGCUCAACCGUAAGAGUGCAUUUGAUACUGGCAGUCUUGAGUACAGUAGAGGUAGGUGGAAUUCGUGGUGUAGCGGUGAAAUGCGUAGAUAUCACGAAGAACCCCGAUUGCGAAGGCAGCUUACUGGACUGUAACUGACGCUGAGGCUCGAAAGUGUGGGUAUCAAACAGGAUUAGAUACCCUUGUAGUC